ACUCAAAGGAAUUGACGGGGACCCGCACAAGCGGUGGAGCAUGUGGUUUAAUUCGAAGCAACGCGAAGAACCUUACCAGGGUUUGACAUACGAGUGCUACUUCUAGAGAUAGAAGGUUUCUUCGGAACACUCGAUACAGGUGGUGCAUGGUUGUCGUCAGCUCGUGUCGUGAGAUGUUGGGUUAAGUCCCGCAACGAGCGCAACCCUUAUCGCUAGUUACUAACAUUAAGUUGAGGACUUUAGCGAGACUGCCAGUGAUAAACUGGAGGAAGGCGGGGAUGAGGUCAAAUCAUCAUGCCCCUUAUACCCUGGGCUACACACGUGCUACAAUGGUCGGUACAAAGAGAAGCGAAACGGUGACGUCAAGCAAACCUCAUAAAGCCGAUCUCAGUUCGGAUUGUAGUCUGCAACUCGACUACAUGAAGAUGGAAUCGCUAGUAAUCGCGGAUCAGAAUGCCGCGGUGAAUACGUUCCCGGGUCUUGCACACACCGCCCGU
RNAcentral lists this ribosomal RNA (497 nucleotides) under uncultured bacterium. RNAcentral's name for it is "bacterial SSU rRNA". It matches the Rfam family "Bacterial small subunit ribosomal RNA", at positions 899 to 1397 of the family's 1533-position model. The record is from RNAcentral.